This is a long non-coding RNA of Protopterus annectens (West African lungfish), 105 nucleotides long. RefSeq lists it as uncharacterized. Lineage: Eukaryota; Metazoa; Chordata; Ceratodontiformes; Protopteridae. The record is from RefSeq and is a predicted model, not a curated record. The transcript has 3 exons.
GAGGAGGAGUUUAGGAGGGAACCUUGUCUGAAAAGAGUAGCCAAAAAUUCUAAAACUGCCGUCACAGGGGCUGUGAAGGGAUCUAGGUUAUGUGACUGGGCCCAG